RNAcentral lists this long non-coding RNA (4099 nucleotides) under Homo sapiens (human). RNAcentral describes it as "HSALNT0265633". The record is from RNAcentral. Lineage: Eukaryota; Metazoa; Chordata; Mammalia; Primates; Hominidae.
CUAAGGCGCAAGGCAGCUGCACAUCCACGGCCAGCCUCGUUGUCUUCAGGGAUUUGUUCAAAGUUCAUUCUGAAUUGUAAGGUAACCACUGCAGAACACGAGCCUUUCCUGGGUAUGUGUGGUUAUUUCUGCCCUUCACGGUCCCACUCAAGUCCUGCCUCCCUCAGGGAGACCUCCCAGACCUCACCAAGCCGUGGGCACGUGGACCAGAAGCCGUGGACCCCAGAGGCUCAUUUAGGGAUCUGCUUUCUGAACCCAGGUCCUAACAUCUGCACUGCAGCGAGCAUUUCUGGUGCCUCAAGUGAGUCACUCCAACUUCCAGGAGCCACCAGCCACAGGCAGCCACUGAGCCCUUGGCAUGUAACCCGGUAACCCAUGCAACAGAAGACCUGAGCGUCCAGUGUUGCUAGCUUGAAGUAACUUCAGUGGUGUUCCCCAGCGUUUUUCUCAUCCCCCUCCCUUCCCUUCCCCUACAGCUUUCUUCCUCUUUCCCCUCCUUCUGAGUCUUUCGUCCCCAGUCCUGGGAACCUUUUUUCUGACUUGGUGUUUUCUCCUGAAUGCCUCCUUCCUGGCCCCCUAAUCAGAAAUGCAGAAGCCACCUGCCCCACACAGGGGGCCACUUUCCCUGCAUCUGGCACUCACCAGGACAGUCAUAGAACUGGCCUUGGGUGCUUGGGGAGAGUGGAGAGGUCUGGGGGGCAUCCACUGGCCUCAGCCUCAGAGCUUCUCAUCAGUAACCCAGGAGGCAAAGGCCCAGCUCAAGAUUAGCCCAGGCCACUGUAUCUGUGCCAAGACCUACAGCUGUCCCUGCAGGGCGUGCAUCUCUGCAGCCCAGGCUAUCACAAUGGUGUCCCUUUUGGUGGGGAUGUGAGGCCUGCUGCUGCCUGGGAAGAAGCUGACAGGAUUGUUGGUGCUGUGGGGAGAAGCUGGUGUAACUGAGACCCAUGAGGGAGGCCCUUUGUGGGUCUGUGGCUGGGAGGAGCUCUGGGGAAGAUGGGCCUUGAGAAAUCCCAGCUUAGCACCUUUGACAGUUGCUCCACUGAGUCACCCUAGACUGCAAUCUCACAGAUGUUCUAACCACCCUCUCCCUGGGGAGCCCUUGGGGGUGCUGCAAGCCCAGUCCUCACUCACUGGCUUUGUGCUUCUCUUCCCGACUUCCUUUUUUUGCUCCUGUUGAGAAAUGUGGGUCCAGGGCUGCGUGCUCCAGUGUGCGGAAGGAAGGGCAGCGUGCUCUUUGGACUGAGCUGGCUCAAGGGAAGCUGGGUCUGAGGGGAGACUGACCUCGACCCUUCUUAAAUGAAACACCUUUUCCCUGCGUCUCAGUCACCGUUACCUGGCCUGAUCACUGUGUGCCACACCCCAUCACAUCCAUCCCCACAAGAAUGCCAGGAGGAGGGGUCAUUGGCCUUUUUGUCAGCACAAACCUCUGGAGGCCCAGCUCCCAAGACCCGCCAGGCACACCUGCCAGAGUGCCUUAACUUGGGAUGUCUGCAAACCUCUGUCCAUGGCCGAACCCACCCCACUGCCUGUUACUGUAAAUAAAGGUCUAUUAGCAUGCCACCAUGCCCCUCCUCCGAUGCAUACAGUGCCCAGCUCAGCACCUGGUGCAAGUAAGCACAAUCUGGCUUCCAGCCAUCACUGCUGUUGCUACUAACACAAAUAUUAGGCCCCUUCUAGAAUGCAAAGAUAACCCAGGGCUGCUCGUUCUGUGUCCAGAUCACAGAGUUUUUCUUUUUAUCCUUAUCAACUUUAUUGAGGGAUAAUUUACAGGCAAUAAAUCAUAUCCAUUUAAAGUUAUUGUCAAGCUUUUAAAGAAUUAAAGUUCGUCUUCUUCAGAAGCUUACCGAGGACUACAGGCUGUGGCGUAGAGCCCUGGAGCAGCCUCCACUGAGGUUCUGUAUUUCAGGUCACAGUUGACAUAUAGGUGGGAGGUCCAGUACGUGCAAAGUCACAUGAAAGCUUGGGUGUCAGAGUGCAUCAGGUUAUGGAUUCAAUUACAGAGCAAUAAUCACUGACCCUGUCAGAUGUUAUCUUACGUGUAGGAAAAGGUAAGACCAGGGCCAUUUAUCUGCAAAGAAUAUAGUGACUCAGGCAAGAGUCCGGAGAGGGUGUGUGCUCCAUCCUGUUUUGUCUUCAGAGCAUCUUUCUGGGGAGCUGCACAUCGUUAUAGAGACAGGCACUUUGUGAAAUUCUGCUGCCAAGCACAAAUGAGCAAACGUGGUUUCCUAUGUUUACUACUUUGUCUCACAAAGCGCACAUUCACAGUGCAUUAUUAAGGGGCCCUGGCAGCACCGCCACAGUGUAUCUCUGCUCCCUCUUAAAGUUCCCCGUGCCCCUUGGCAGACAGGCCCCUCUCACUCCUGGGCCCAGGCUACCAUUGACCAGCUUUUUGCCACUAGAGGUUAAUUUUCAUUCUAUGUGAUUGGAAUCAUACAGAUGUUCUUGUAUCUGACUUAUUUCACUCCACAUAGUGAUUCUGAGAUUCAAAUGUUGUGUGUAUCAGUUGUUUGUUCCUUUUUAUUCCUGAAUGGGAGAGGGGAUGUCAAGCUGCACAGUUUUAUUCCUGGGCUACAGUGGAGAUGGAUGGUUCUACCGUCUCUCUGAAACACCAUCUGCAGUUUCUUCAAAAUCUACCUACACAUCUUCCAUCCCAUCCUGAGGAGUCCCCGAGGGUUGAGAAAUGCAUGACCCCACACCUGGCUGACGUGUACAACUGGCGGAGUUAGUUUUUCCUGUUGACACUGGCCACGGGCGCCUCAGCAUGCACAGCCCUGGCCUUGCUCCUCUAGGCAUGCUGGGGGCUUGUCCACACGUGUGGUCUACGGAUGGAGGAGAGUGGCCUCUGGCCCAUGCGUGCCAUGCACUGGACCUUCCCAGGGAAUCAAGUUACAUGAUGUUUCCUUGAGGAGCUACAUACAAAGUAAAAAACUGAAAUCAAGAAUAUCAGUCAUUUCUGAAUAUGCCAAUUCGCCCAUGGUGCAGUUUGUACAGCUUAAUCACUGCAGAACAGUUUUGAGGAUAAAAUUAACCAAAAACCUAAGUAGACAAAAUAUUCAAAUUUUUGGAAUCUGUCACAAAAAUCCACAGAUGACUUAUUUUCCAUUGUAGCUUAUAAUGUCCAAAAGCCUUUCUAGUGACUUAUAACUGAUGGUGAGCUCCCACUCUGUGGCAGCUGUGGGACACUGGUCUAAGGACUACACCCUGAUGCCUGGUGAGUUACAGAGGCCAUGAGAAGAUGUCAGUGAACCUGAAAGCCAGGGAGAGGCUGUGUUCCUGCCGGACUGUGGGGCUCCUUCGCUCCCCUGCUGUGGCCCUUGGUCAGGCCACUUUCCCUCUCUGGGUGUCAGUGGCUUCAUCUACGAAGUGAUAAAAAACUAAUGCAAACCAGAGCAAAAUGAGAUAACACGGGGACCCCUAAUGUCCCAGGGAGAUGGUGAACUGAAGCACCGCGUGCGGUGAGUUGUUGCUGUCUCCACCCCUCAAGGAGACCGCAGCUUUGCAGACGUGUGGGUCCCAUCAUCGGCCCCAUUCUACAUUCCUCCCUGUGUCCCUGCCAUCGCCAGGUGACUUUGCUGGGCCCUCCCACCGCCCUAACUCCCAAUCCCAAGAUCUUCAGUGAACGUGACGCGCACAGCAGAGGCCCAGAAUGUAUGUGUGCAUGUGGUGACAGCUAAGCCUGCCUGGAGCAGAGCCCCAACCCUGCAGCAGCUCAAACAAGCUGAGAUCAGCAAAUGCACAUCUGACUCUCAGACAUGGGGGCAAUAAUAAUAAAUGCUGUUUGAGUUUUGGGGUCUUUGGCUACACAGCAAUUGCUCACCAAUAUGACAGGGUUGUAUGACGUGGCCAUGCGGAACUGUAUUAUAGGGGAAGUGGUGAACAGUGUGAUGAGAUUUUAAAGAGGAACAGAUUUACCACUGACUUUAGAAAUCAUGGAGGAGAAAUCUCUGGGGUUGCCCUUGAAGGGUGUGUGGAGGAGGACAUGGGAGAAGGGGGAAGAACCGUGGCAUCCUGGCUAAACAGACACAGGGCAGAGGGAGCCUCUGUGUUGGGACUAAGAUGGGGAUGUCGGGGAAGGGACAUGGCAAGCUGACUGUUGGUG